AGUAACAAUAAAAUUAAUAUUGAAAAAGAGUAACAUCAACUUUACCACUAUUUAUUAUUAAAUAUCAGUUUGCGAGCGAAGGAUGAGAUCCAUAAAACCUAUAGAAAUCAUAUUAUAGAAAUAGGAAAUCGGAAUGUUUGAUUAUCUUUUCUUAUUUGUCCAGUUGUUCAAUUUUUCAAUUAUUAUAAUGAUAUUAUUUUUAUAUCAACGCAGAUUUUAAUGAAAAAUUCAAGAAAUACAUCGGUUGCUUGUUGCGUAAUAAACAAUUAAUCUUCUUUGCUGAAAGUGCAACAUUUGAUUACGACAUAGGAAGUCCAAUUGCCGACUAGGACAUGGCAAUUGAAAAGUCUAUGGUCACUUGUAGGAAAUAUCUCUUGUAUUUGAAAGUAUCUACCGUACUUUGAAGAACAACCGAGCUUUCAUAUCAGCUCAAAUAAUGUAGAAUAAUUUUCUCUAGGAAAUGUUCCUAACAGCAUUUAAAGCACCACUUUUAGAACAACGUUGUUAAAAUUCAAGAGCUAAAGAUUACGACAAUGUGUUCUUACAUUAAAGAUCACGUGAAUACCCUAAAGUCUUAUUGGGAAGUAAUAUUCGUACAACUCCAAUUGUUUAAUCAAAUUCUUAUUUAAAAAUAUAAUAGCUGUAAACUCAGAAUUAAUAAGAAAUUGUAUAUUAAAUAUUUUUUUAAUUUAUAUUAUACAUUAUUACAUUAUAGAGAUUAUAAAGAUACUUGUUACAAAUUAAACCAAUAAUUAAAGGAUAUGUGAUAGAAUCGGCGAGAUGUUUAAAAGAUUAAUACUAUAUAUAUUUGGCAAUGUAUUAUAUCAAUGAAUUCAAUGUUAAUAAAAAGACAUGUUUAAUAUGUGCAUAUAUUAAACGUAUUUUAUAGAACGUAUUACAUAAGUUAAGAAAUAAUAAAAUAUAAAUCAGCAUUUUUAUUGUACAGCUAUGUUUCAUUGGACAAAUUGUGGAUAAUUUGUUCAAUAAAUAAUAUAAAACAAAAUAUAUUUCAACAUUUUUCUAAUUUAUAUAAAAUCAUUGUUUUAUUUAUCUUUAUCGAAAAAUAAGACCUCUCUUACCAAAAAUAUGCUAUUAGAAAGUAUGAAGUACGUAAUGUCAAAGACAAUCCAAGACCGAAUAACAUGAUAUAAUCUUAUAAUGAAUAAGUUAAUUUUUCAAUUAUGUGUAAACAUAGUAUUUAUGAAUUAUCAUUUCUUAGUCCAAGUAUAAAACAGAACAUCUAUAAUGUUUAAUAUUCCUAUAUAACUAAAAGUUUUAUUAAAAAAUUUGCACUAUUUAUAUUUCUAAAAACAAAUUAGAAUUACAUGCAUAGUCGUUGCAAUUUCGUUGUGAAAUGUCAGAAACGAACCGGCAUCUGAUUACAGGAUGCUGGGCUGAGACUCAGGUAUGCGCACAAUAAUGGCAAAUGGUCCUCAGCACGUGAUGGUUUGUAUCUCCAAGCAUAUCAGAUUACGGAAACGAUCCCGGAGGAACGUGCAUGAUACGAACAGAUAAUCGUGAGAUGCGAAGUAACAGGUCCACAGGAACGCGUAUAGCACGUGCAAGGUCAAGCAUGUGUUUGACAUGGACCACGAACGAUGAAGCGCAUUCGAAAUGGAAGAUUGAAGCAACAUCUUCUUAGAAAUAUUAGGAAAAAUACUUCCGUAUCCAUGACCUACGCGAGCUCGGGAAUUGGCAUUGAUGAUACAGGACUACCUGUUUGACCGAAACAUCAGAUAAUGCCCGUUAGAACUGGUUAUACCAACAAGGUGUAUCACGAUCCUACAGUGCGAUACGGAAGAUAAGCACCGGAAAGGGGUCCAGUUUGCCUCCGGCAAGUGACCUCAUGAACUCGAUGACCGAGAAAGAGAAAAUCCACCUGAUCGGCUGCUUCCACAUAAUUUUUUUCUUAAUUAUCCGUCCUACUAAUUAGCGAUACUCGCAAAUGACAUGGAGAAUUUUUGGUAUGAACGCAUGAUCCUUCAGUAAACAUGAAACGCGAAAAAUAGAGGUCACAUGUAAUUUAUGGUAAGUAGAAAACAUAUAUAUAAACGCAUAUAAAACGCAUGUAUAAACGCAUAUUCUACCGCAUCAAGUUUUACGACAUCGUAAACAUUGUAAUCAAAUGUUGACGAUUUUAUUGUGUAGUUGCACGCUUUAUUCGGCCAUCCCUCUCUGAUGUUUUCUAACUUACAAUUAGUGAACAUUAUACUAUAUCAUCGCAAUUAUCGUAUGCAGGUCACAUGUUUCUUGUACCUGUACUGAGAAGCUAGCACUAUAAAUUUCAAUUAAUUAAUCUUUAUUAUUUAUUUACUUACAUAUUUUGAAAGAUUGAACCCUCCAGAUACUGAAGAUGAUUCUUUGUACGCAAGGUAGUGUCAGAUAACUAUGAAAAGAGAUUAGCCACCAGGACGCUAAUCAACAAUUUACAUAUUCAUGACAUUUAUCUUGCACUAACUAUUUACAUAUUCAUAAUUGAGUUUCUCACAAAAUUGCAAGCGGGAAAAAUAGGUUUCCCAUUUGUCGUAGAAUGCAUCGCUUUAAUGAAAGUUCCGCUUUGCAUGUAUAUAUAAUCAUACAAUUGAAAUCAAUUGACACAAUCGGAUUGUAAUCUUUUAAAAACACUGUGAUUGCUAAAUACACUUAAUUGGCGUGGCAAAUGCAAAACGUAUUCGGACGAUACAGUUGACUUCAAACGAUUUAGUCGAAUCAUUCGAUUUCCUUCUUCAUGCAAUAAAGACGGCGAAAGGAUUCUCGCGCGCGGUCAGUUAAAUUGCGAAUCUUUCUUACGUAAACGUCGAGCACAGAUCGUGUAACGCGCUGUCGUGAGUCUGAAUUGCAUCGGAAUAGUUGCUCGCUGUUUAGUUGAGAGUUUGCAUUAUAAAUAAAAUAUGUUAUUAUAUAAUAUUAUUAUAUAAAAUGUCAUUUCUUCCUCUUACGUUAAAUAUUUUUCAAUUAAUAUUAUAAAUGAUACAUCUUGAAAUCGUUAAAUGUUCUUUCGUUCAUGGAAUCUUUGAAUGAAUUAUUGGAUUUAAUUUAAUAUCGCCUUUUUUGGGAUCAAAACUCUUUAUUAUAAAAUACUUUAUAUUAUUUAGAUAAAUUAGGUUAAUGUGAAGUAUUUUAAAGCUAAUUGUCGCUCGUACAAAUUUUUCACGGAUUGAUAUAAUAAUAAAUGAUUAAGCUUAUCAAAACAUAGUUCUGAUUGAAGAGAAUUCAAAACACUGUCUCAAAGCUGUCUAUUUUCUCUCAUUCUCUCUUCUCUUUGCAGGAUCCGGUUUCUCAUGAACCGGAUCUGGAAGAUCCCUUUUUCCUUAGCUAUGAGAAUUUAUAACAAUCCGUCCACAUUUCUUUACUGGAACAGCAUUGCUAUUGCCGAAUAUUUUUAAGCCGCAAUUUCAUGGACUUAGAGAAAUUCAGAAUCCAAGUAGUAAAAGUUAAAUAUAUCUUCCUCUCCAAUGAAUAUAUGGAUGAAUGUUUGUUAAUCGGCAUAAAAUCAAUUCUUUUGAUCAUUAACCCGGACCUGUCAGAUUUACACCUUACGCCAUGCGGCUUUGACCUGUGAGAGAGUUCUUGCCACAGGCAACCCUCAUUAGUGGCUCUUAAUUGCUUUGGCGUGGCUUGACUGUAACACAGGUUUUACGCAACAACUGUUUUAUAUCGUUCUUCAAACAUGAACAAUUAUUAUUUUUUUAAAUGUUGACUGAUUGUUUCAAUUAAUUGCAUGCCUAAAAAAUAUACCUUAAUAUAACGAAUUUUACAAUUGUAAAUAAACAUUUAUCACAUAAUGUAAUAAAUUUUUUAUGAACGACAAAAAAAUAGAAUAAAUCAUAAAUUUAUGGAUAAAAAUAAAAGUUUCUCCUUUCGACAAACAUUUAUGUAAAAUUAAUAGUUGCAAAAUCAAAGAUCUACGUAUAGAAAAGUUUGUAGUAAAGUCAGAGUUUCAAGUAGUGCGUGUAAAAUAAAACUAUUGUUCUCAACACAGACGCGAAGCUAAGAAAAUCAGGACGAUCGAUGAUCUUUUGUUACAGUAGCAGGACACUCAUUCACUUGACAAGCAAAUCGGCAGGUUUGGUUACGAAAGCUGGACCAGUCAUAAAACCGGUCUAUCUUCUCUAUGGAGGACAUGCGGAUCGAAAUCAUCGAUAAGCGCGCAGAAAAAUAGCAUAAUAUAAAAAAUCAAUCGCGAUCCAUGGCAAGGGAGAGCAGUGAUAGACAAACAAUGAAUCGUGAAAGUGAACAUCCUUUGUCCCAUAAAUUCAUUAUUAUCAUUCAUAUUGUGAAUUACUGUGUAUACGAUGUCGUAGGCUGCUGGCACUUUCUUUGCAGAUUGAGGAUAUAGACUGAGAUUGGGGCUUUAUAGAUCGAGUAUUCAAACAAUCUAAAUCAAAAUAAGUUUUUAUUUCUUUCAUAAAUAAGACCUAAUAAAAAUUUCGAUAGAGAAUAUCGAAAAGAGGUAUCAAAUAUAAAAUUUUGCUAUAAUUCGGAAUGUUUUUUAUUAUUAACUAAAUCAAAUUAAUGACUAACGUUCCUCCUUCUGCUACUUUUAAACUGUCGUAGAAAAUCUAGAGAAGACUUGCUGCUUCAUACUAAGGUGUUAUCGAAAUCCCAUUGUCGUUAUGCUAUAUACGAUUGACAAUACGACUUUCUCCGUGCAACAAAGCCAUGACGAAAGCUACAUGGAACUCGAGCAAUCGGAAUCAUUCAGUGACUGCAUGAAUAAACCUGAUCUAUUAGUGUUGCACAAUGUGUUUGGUGGGUGUGCAUGUGAUUACUUGUUUCACGAUACUUCGAUCUACUGUGCCAGUGACACAAAUGAGUUCUAAGUACCGGGAUGUUAUCUCUCAAUGCAAACGAUGUUACGUUUCGAGCACCACCUCCAUGAAGCGGUUUGUAUGGAAAUAUAUAUGCGUGUAUAUGAAUAUUAUAAAUUAUAUCUGUUUUCUCUACGAAAAUUUUGUUUGUACAAGAUGAAACAAAAGAAGACAUGUGGAUUGUUCAAAAAUAAUUAAGUGAUAUUUGAUUAUAAUUAAUAAGUGUUUAAAAACUCU
Molecule: long non-coding RNA, 5048 nt
Organism: Ooceraea biroi (clonal raider ant)
Lineage: Eukaryota; Metazoa; Arthropoda; Insecta; Hymenoptera; Formicidae
Source: RefSeq, a predicted model, not a curated record